AUAGUUUAAUGGUAUAUUUCUCGGUAUUCUAGGCUCGGCCUUACAAUAUAACAAACAAGUUUGACCUCAAAUCAGGUAGGAUUACCCGCUGAACUUAAGCAUAUCAAUAAAGCGGAGG
Molecule: ribosomal RNA, 118 nt
Filed under: Debaryomyces hansenii
Lineage: Eukaryota; Fungi; Ascomycota; Pichiomycetes; Serinales; Debaryomycetaceae
Description: partial 28S ribosomal RNA
Source: RNAcentral